GGCGGCGUGCCUGAGACAUGCAAGUCGUGGGAGAAAGUCGUAGCAAUACGGCUAGUAAACCGGCGCACGGGUGAGUAACACGUGGAUAACCUGCCUUAGAGUCUGGGAUAACCCGUCGAAAGACGAGCUAAUACCGGAUAAGACCACGGGAAGUUCGCUUCCUGAGGUAAAAGAUGGCCUCUGCUCCUGCAAGCUAUCACUUUGAGAGGGGUCCGCGCCCUAUCAGCUAGUUGGCGAGGUAACGGCUCACCAAGGCUAAGACGGGUAGCUGGUCUGAGAGGAUGGUCAGCCACACUGGGACUGAGACACGGCCCAGAGUCCUACGGGAUGCAGCAGUCAGGAAUAUUGCGCAAUGGAGGAAACUCUGACGCAGCGACGCCGCGUGGGUGAUGAAGGCCUUCGGGUCGUAAAGCCCUGUCGGAGGGGAAGAAAAGUUGACUGGCUAAUAUCCAGUUGACCUUUGACGGUACCCUC
RNAcentral lists this ribosomal RNA (474 nucleotides) under uncultured bacterium. RNAcentral describes it as "bacterial SSU rRNA". It matches the Rfam family "Bacterial small subunit ribosomal RNA", at positions 38 to 482 of the family's 1533-position model. The record is from RNAcentral.